UUACACUCCUCACUAUCUUUCACACAGGUGCAAAAUAUUCAUAUUUUGUUAGCCCAAAGACACGAGGUGACACUGGAGGUGCUGGCUGGGAGUGGGAACAGCAGCUUUUCAGGAGUCAAACUUCAAAUCCACUGUGGAAACAUCCCUGAACCACCUGCACCCUGUGGCUAUGUCAGACUGCCAUUCCCAGGCUAAUCCCAAUGGUUCCAUCUGAGAUGCUGCUGGGCAGGUAGGACAGGGCAGGGAACUGCACUGAGGGGACACCUCACCCUGGAGCAUCCCCAACAUGUAACAAAAAACCUCAUUUUUUCUCAAGUAAGGAGCAUCCAGCAUUUCUCUGGGCUGACAGUGUCUGCCCCUCUGCCAGCAGCAUUUUCCCAGAGCAUUGGACCCCUCUGUUGGGGAAUGUGCCCAAGAAACCAACUCAGGAGCGGCUGCCUGAGGGGACCUGCUCCUGCACACUCCCCUCACUCCACACAGAUCUUGCAAAACGCAGCCUAGAACCUAAGCUGCUCCUCACUUUUCACUCAGCAGUUAAAAUAAAGCCCAGAAAAAGAGGCCAGCAGGUCUAGUGGCUCAAACUGGAGAUUAAAAGAAAAAAUUACCUCAGAGUGUUGGUUGAACAGGCCCUGGGUGUGUCCUCCACCAUGGUGCCUCACACAAGGCCGGUCCAGCCAGCCAUGGGGACAUGUCCUGGCCUGAGGGUCUCCUCUGGCCUGCACAGCUGACACCAGUGACAGCUCCCAGCUCCCAGUCACAGCCAGAGGUGUCCCAGCAGUGUCCUGGUCCCUCACGGACAAAGCUGCUGUGCUGCUGCCAGGAUGGCCCCUCCAGGUACACCCGGGAGCCUCGGCCUCUCCCAGGGGCUGUCCGUGGCAGAGUUUUCCCUCAGGACUCUCCUGCCAAAGCUGCUGCCUUCGGUGUAAGCGUGCAAGUUCCCUCAGCACAUGCCCUGGGGUGGUCACCACUGGCCAUGCCAGGUCAGACUGCCCCAGAUCCCUGCAGGACACAGCUCCAGGCUGUGCCCUCCCCACAAACAGCUCACAGCUCCUCAAGGAAGGAGCCACAGCACGUGCUCAUUAGCUACAUGGGUCAGUAAAUAAUUAUAUUUAAGUCACAUUAAAAAGCUGGAGCCAAAAAGCUGCAAACAGCUCCCAGCUGGAGUUCUCCAUCGAUUGAGAAGGGCAGCACUGUGGGUGGAGAGAUUAAUGGGUUGGUCCUAUAAACUUUGGCUUGGAAAUUUAGCACGACUGUGGAUGUCAGGUGAGGCGUGUACUGAGCAAACUCCUUCCCUGGUGCCAUCUGCGUAACUCAUGCACAGCGAAUGAAGCUGGUGUUUGGGAGGUGAGAACAGAACUGGGCAAUCCUUCUUUAAAUGAAGCACAGAAAGAGAGGUGGACCAGAGAGGAAGCUACCUGAAGGAUCCACAGAAGCAAGGACAGCCAUAUUGUCCCCAGAAACUAUUUCAAGAAAAUACAGAAAAGAGUGUAAUGGUACAUUGCAACAGUACUGAUAUCACUUCACUGAUGUUAUAAAUUACAGAAUGAGAUUAAAAAUAGUCAUAUGCCAUUUUUGCUGGCUGCUUUAUUUCAGUAACAAUGGAGCAAGUGAACUUUGCUCAUUUUCAUACUAAGCAGCCUUUGAAAUAAAAAAUAAAACCACCUCCUUGCUUCUAAGGCAGCUUUAUAUUCUGUGAAAUGGGUGUCAAAUUCAGUCAAAAAAUUUCUGCCCUGUGAGAGAGAAACAUACUCUUUUAUAGAUAAAAGGUUUGUUCUUUGGAAGAUUUAGGGGAUAUUGAUGAUUUUUCUCCCUUGAGACUUACCACAGUUGAUCUCACUGUGUCUGAGGGCUGGUGAGUGGGAUAUUGAUAAACAACAAGAUGUGAGAGAGGGAACAAUUUAAGGCAGGGUCAACAUUCCAGAAAUGAAACCACCAGCUCAAGAAGAGGCUGGAGGGAGGGAAGGACACUUCUAGGACCAGGUUCCUGUUUGCCAGAGUCACAGAUGUCCAGGCUCACAAUGCAUCUACACAGCUUCCCAAAUGCUGUGGGAGAGUGCUGUGCUACAAACCACAAGGGAAGGAGUUUAUUCAGCAUUUCCCAAAAUGUGAAGAGCGAGACACCCAAUCUCUCACAUCUGCAAGAGGAAGAUCUCCAGUCAUGCAGAUCCAGGGUUUGUCCUUAGGACACACUGCCACAGAAGCCAGGGAGGGAAGAGAAGGAAUAACUGAAGAAUUUUAGGCACUCUAAGAUGGAGAGUCUAUGAAUUGGUAAUGUUAUUUCUCUUUCCAUUUCAAUGGGCAAAGUAAGUCACUUGCCUGAUCCCACAAAAAUAAGCCCAGAAUGGAAGUUAACCUGAAAUGGGCAAUGUGUUCAAAUGAGGUUUUGGUCUGGUGCCCAUUUCAAGUAUAAAAGGAAGCAAAUUUGCUUUAGUGGAAAUAAAAGCUAAAAUCACCAAGUCAAGACUGUAACAUUUAAUUGUUUUAUUAUUUUGAAUUAACUGAAGCCAACAAGUGGAUAGAAUUGGUCUCAUAACAAUACUACAACAAUAAAUCUGCAGAGUGUGUGACAUUGCCUUACAAGAGACCAACCAGCUGAUACAACAUUCCUAAAAGAAGACAAAGAACUGCUAAUUAUGUUAAAUUUCAUUUGCUACGUAAUUUAGACCAUGACCUAGUGCUUCUAAAAAAACCUGUACAAAAUGAGUAUUUUUACAUCUCAGAGGCACAUGAAUACAAAUCUGAUCUAUUUUAUAUAUACACAUGUACAUUACAAGAAACCAGAUGAUUAGAGAAGUGUAUAUAAAAAGUGUUGAAAACCAGAUGAUAAAAUGUGAAAAUAAAAUGUUAUCUUCACAACAGAGAAGUAAAAGGCACAAGUACUAAAAUAUGUAACCAUGCAAAAAAUGUGACUAGUCUGUGCAACAGAGAAAAACAAAUGGCUCUCACAACUGAUUUUACAGUAAUUCUUAAAAUGUCUCAGUAUUUAAAUAUAUAUCAGUGCAACAUUUACUGCCCUGUAGUGUACUGAAGUGUUCACAGGAUACUAAAUUCUUGGUUCUCUUUCUGAUGUCCUUUCUCCAAAGCCAGAAUAAUUUAGCUAUGGAUAAGGUAGUAAAUAAAACAGGGCUGAUGCUGUGGAGUGCAAGGUCAUCACUGGGAGGAGGAGUGUCUGCAGCCCUCCUUACCAUCUGCACAGAUGUGUCCCCCAGAACAGUCACCUUCCACCCCUCACUGGGGCACAGCGGCUCUGAGGGGUUUCCAGGGUGUCACCGUGUCCAGAAUAGUGACAGCAAAGCUGACAGCUCACUGCUGCUCCACUCAUAGCACCUUCAUUCCAGGGCCAGCUGUCCAAAUUACACUGCAGAAGCCCAUGUUUGUCAAUGUUUUCAUUAGUAUAGCUAGUUUAAGUAAAAGUAAGUUUAAGUAAAAACGAAUCUCUCUAACAGUACGUUUGACCAGGUACUACUCUUGCAGUUGAACAAAAGCCCCAAACUGAAGGCAGCAAGCUGAAACCCAGGGUGCAGAGAACACCAGGAGCCCUGUCAGCUGGCUCCACACUGUGGCAAACUAUUGUAGUGUGGCCCUCCCUGCCUGCAGAUUUUCCCUGCAGAUCCUCAGUGGCUGCUGCUGCGACCUCUGUGAUGUGCUGGCCAUGCUGAGCUGCAGGCCUGAGCCUCCCAGAGUGUGGCAGUAGAGCAUGUUGUGGGACACCUGGACAGAAUUGAGGCACAUCCCAGGGAUCCCUCACCUGGAUCCCUUCAGGGUUACUCACCCUACCUGCUUGGAUACCAUGAGAAUCAGCUACAACGUUUUGUCAUGGGACACAACCAGUUUUCAUGACCACAAAGAAGGCAAGGGUAGGACUGGCCUGAUACGAAGACAGGACUGAAAUUCUUGCCUUGGUAGCUAAAGUCACACUGAAGCCAAGAAUAUCGAAUUUGUCCCUCCCAUCUGCUCAAAGAGCCGCCCCAAGGCACACAGACACCUGACAGUGGCUGGGGACAAGUCCAAGAGUGUAAAUGUCAACACAACACUGAGGAAGAGUCCCAGAAACAACUCUCUCACACAUCAGAGCAACUCCCUGUGCAUUAUGCAGAAUGACAGGAUGCGGACCCAACACCAACUGCAAUCCUCAUCAAACUCUAAAGGUACAUGCAGAGUUUCAUUAACUAGAAACCCAUGCAUGAUUUAACAGCAAACUGCUCCUAGGAGCAAUACUUUGAAUUCAAAAAUACUGAGAUGCAAGGGAACAAAUAGUCAGAACUGUGGAACUAUGUCCUUUAAAACCAACCAGCUGUUUUACAUCACCUGUCAUGAUUUCUUGACAAUAUUUCUUGAGUAACAAAUUACUUGACAAGAACAUGAGCAUUGCUACUUACACCAGGAACUGCUCAUGUAAAGUCUGAGUCAAGUUUUCACUUAAAUCAGUAUAAGCCAAGCCACUGAUCUGGCAAGUGUUUGAUCAGCUGCUACUUCCUUCCUUCCUUGGAAAAAAUUCCCUCAGACCACACCAUACAGUAUUUGUUUUAAAAGAAAACCACUGCAUAUUCACUGUCAUUAAAGAAUGUAAAAAAACCAUUCUUUUAUUUGUAAAUUCUACUUCUUAGACUCAUCACAUGUCACGGGCACUAUGAUGCACAGACCACUGAGUAGUGUCUCGUGUAGCAGCCCACAAUGUGUGUUUAUAUAUCAGCUUCCAAGCCCCAUUUACAAACCAGAUUAGGGAGCCUAAACACUGUCGGUCUAGAUCCUCUCUGAAGAGAAAUGCAGUUCUACCAAAGUAAAUGGAGCAUUGCUGCACUCAGACAGCAAAAUAUUUGUUGAUACACAUCUUUGAGAAUUAAUAAUGCUGUGUUCAACUCCCUACAGAGCUGGCUGAGAAAUAUCUGAAUUUUUCCCAAAGGCCAUGAAAGGAAAGUUGGCAACAAAAGUACACUGGAUGCUAGGGUUUUUUUGAAACUUCCUAUAUAUUUGCAUAUUAAAAAUUCCUUAAAAAUAGAUGGGAUGGUUACAGUUCAUCAAUGUUGCACUUCAAGACAAAUUCUCAAAGAGCUUCAGUCUUAAAUAGAAGCUAUUCAAAAAGCUGAAAAAUCUUCUUUUGAUGUCAAAGCAAUUUUGAAUCAGCAUCAUUCUGAAAUCAGAACUAGGCAGCAGCUGAAGUCUGGAGGGAAGCAGCCAAUACCAGAAAAAUCUUGAGAGACUACAUUUCAGGUACUCUUUAAGUGCAAUUUUGGAAAGAGGUAAUUUUUCUGCAGUACCUUGUGUGGGACUGGCCUGACUAUGGGCAGCUUCUAGCCAAAAUCCAGUCAUUUUUUUUUCACUGUCCAGAAAUACCUGUAAUGGUUUGCAACAGGUUUGACCAGAAUAUCAUUUAACUUUUCAGAAUGUAAGGUCAAAUGAACCAAGGAACAGAUCAAGAUACAAUACCUGGGAUUGUGUUUGCUUCUCCAAAGGUUAAAUAGAACCACGGGUUUGGCACAGGAGUGUUUACUGCAUUUGUGUAUUGCUAGAAGGAGAUGAUACCACAUUUCUGUGUCUGAAGUGAUUUACCCAGGGAGGGGAGGCCCUUGUUCCACCAACAGUAACACUGACAGAGGCAGGCUGUGCUUUCCUGGCCAGCCUGAGAACACAAAGGAUGUCCACAGCAAAGAAAUAAGACAUUUAUCAGAGAACAGACAGCAAAAUGAGUUGUCUCCCUGUUUUUAACAUCUCCUGUCUGUUCUGCCAGUGUCUGUCUGACACUUGAUGAAAAUAUGCACUCUCUGCAAAACUGGUAUCAGAUCACUCUUUUCCCUGCCCCAGUGAGCCACCAAGUGAUCCUUUAUUACCAAAUUACCUGCAUGUCAUAAAACACAAUGACUUCUUUUCUGGGAUAAAAGGCUUCUCCAGGGCUUGAGUUGCAAGACAAGUUGGUCUAACAUUUGCAGUUACUCAGUCUAAGAAUGCAAUUGCUAAUUAGUAUUUUUAGAGGUGGAUACCUUAGAGGAAAAUAUAUCUGCCAGUGAAAUGCCUCUCCCACCUCCAACUCACAUUAUUUGUCAAACAUAGCAAGUAUCUGGAUAUGAUUUCCACAGUAACAGAUGGCAGUAUGACACCAAGGGCCCCACAGGAGCAGAAGGAUGCCUCCUUUACACAAUAAAACACAGCUACAAACACCA
This is a long non-coding RNA of Cyanistes caeruleus (blue tit), 6158 nucleotides long. RefSeq lists it as uncharacterized. NCBI's taxonomy places the organism in Eukaryota, Metazoa, Chordata, Aves, Passeriformes, Paridae. The record is from RefSeq and is a predicted model, not a curated record.